UGGGCUGUAGCUCAGUGGUAGAGUGCUUGCCUUGCAGGUGUGAGGCCCUGGGUUUGAUCCUCAGCACCACAU
This is a non-coding RNA of Ictidomys tridecemlineatus (thirteen-lined ground squirrel), 72 nucleotides long. Lineage: Eukaryota; Metazoa; Chordata; Mammalia; Rodentia; Sciuridae. The record is from Rfam.